This 253-nucleotide ribosomal RNA is filed under the name uncultured bacterium. RNAcentral describes it as "partial 16S ribosomal RNA". It matches the Rfam family "Bacterial small subunit ribosomal RNA", at positions 524 to 776 of the family's 1533-position model. The record is from RNAcentral.
UACGGAGGGUGCAAACGUUGCUCGGAAUCAUUGGGCGUAAAGCGCACGUAGGUGGCCUGUUAAGUCGGGUGUGAAAUCCCUGGGCUCAACCCAGGAAGUGCACUCGAAACUGGCAGGCUUGAGUACUGAAGAGGGUCGCGGAAUUCCCGGUGUAGAGGUGAAAUUCGUAGAUAUCGGGAGGAACACCAGUGGCGAAGGCGGCGACCUGGGCAGAUACUGACGCUGAGGAGCGAAAGCGUGGGGAGCGAACAGG